GGAGUUGGCCAGGUCAUCGCUGCCUGCUGCCGGCGAAUUGCGGGUAGGCAAGUGGAGGAAAGUCCGGGCUCCACAGGACAAGGCGCCAGGUAACACCUGGGGGGCGUGAGCCUACGGAAAGUGCAGCAGAGAGUAGACCGCCUAAGCAGUUCGUGGCAGCAAUGCCAUGGCCUGCCGGUAAGGGUGAAAGGGUGCGGUAAGAGCGCACCGCGUCGGUGGCAACAUUCGACGGCAUGGUAAACCCCGUCUGGAGCAAGACCAAAUAGAGGGACGUUGGCGUGGUCCGCGCUGUCCCCGGGUAGGUCGCUUGAGCGUCAUGGUGACAUGACGCCCAGAUGAAUGAUGACCCUAGACAGAACCCGGCUUAUGGCCAACUCCUUUU
This 382-nucleotide RNase P RNA is filed under the name Granulosicoccus sp. RNAcentral's name for it is "RNase P RNA component class A". It matches the Rfam family "Bacterial RNase P class A". Rfam says of the family: Ribonuclease P (RNase P) is a ubiquitous endoribonuclease, found in archaea, bacteria and eukarya as well as chloroplasts and mitochondria. Its best characterised activity is the generation of mature 5'-ends of tRNAs by cleaving the 5'-leader elements of precursor-tRNAs. Lineage: Bacteria; Pseudomonadati; Pseudomonadota; Gammaproteobacteria; Chromatiales; Granulosicoccaceae. The record is from RNAcentral.